Molecule: ribosomal RNA, 496 nt
Filed under: uncultured bacterium
Lineage: Bacteria
Description: partial 16S ribosomal RNA
Rfam family: Bacterial small subunit ribosomal RNA
Source: RNAcentral
AUUGAACGCUGGCGGCAUGCUUUACACAUGCAAGUCGAACGGUAGAGGGGGCAACCCCUUGAGAGUGGCGAACGGGUGAGUAAUGCAUCGGAACGUGCCCAGUCGUGGGGGAUAACGCAGCGAAAGCUGUGCUAAUACCGCAUACGAUCUCUGGAUGAAAGCGGGGGACCGAAAGGCCUCGCGCGAUUGGAGCGGCCGAUGUCAGAUUAGGUAGUUGGUGGGGUAAAGGCUCACCAAGCCAACGAUCUGUAGCUGGUCUGAGAGGGCGACCAGCCACAAUGGGAAUGAGACACGGCCCAGACUCCUACGGGAGGCAGCAGUGUGGAAUUUUGGACAAUGGGCGCAAGCCUGAUCCAGCAAUGCCGCGUGCAGGAAGAAGGCCUUCGGGCUGUAAACUGCUUUUGUACGGAACGAAAAGGUCUGGGUUAAUACCCUGGGCACAUGACGGUACCGUAAGAAUAAGCACCGGCUAACUACGUGCCAGCCGCCGCAGUAA